AAGCAACUUUACAGAAGAUUUUGGCUUCAAGUUUCGGAGAAGGAUAAAGAAUCAGAGCAUCUCUUAAACUUGUAAUGGCGGUCUUCUGCUCGACCCUGGUUUCUGGGCUUUCCUUUAACAGUUUCCCGAACUUCGCAGAAGAUGGCGACGCACAAAAUGCCCGAGAGCAUUUAAUCCUUACUUCGUCAUUCUCAAUUCAAAUUCGGAAGCCCCUUUUGUUUAUCAAGAAUGGCUGUUCCGGGGGUUGACAAGAAACUGCUUUGCGAACUCGAGGAAAUGGGAUUCCCCGAGGCUCGGGCCACUAGGGCUCUUCAUUAUUCAGGUAAUUCAAGUGUCGAGGCUGCAAUAAGUUGGAUAAUCGAUCAUGAGAAUGAUGCUGACAUUGACGAGAUGCCCUUGUCUGCUCAGGUUCCUGUCGAUAUCCCUAUUGAAGCUUCUGAUCCAUUUUUCAUCUCCGAAGAAAUGAAGCUGAAAGCACCGGAAUUAAGCGAUCAGGUGCGUAAAAAUAGAGAAGUGGAAGAGAAGAAACUGGAAAGAAGCAGGGAGAAGGAAAGGAUUAGAGCAGGUAAAGAGCUGCAAGUGGCAAAGCGAAUGGCAGAAGAAAAUGAAAGAAAGCGUAAUGUAGCUCAGAGGAAAGCAGACGUGGAAGAAAAGAGAAGGGCAAGGGAAAGAGUCCAUCAGAAGCUGCAACAGGAUAAGGCAGAAAGAAGGGGGUGGCUUGGAUUGCCUGUGGAAGGCCCUUUAUCUGUAAACCCUGCCAUAUCCUUUUCACAUGAAAGCAAGAACUUAGAGCAGGUUAAGCCUGCUUUGUUGACUGUUUCUGCUAGGAAGGAGGAUCUGAUGAGGGAAUGUCUGAGAUCUCUCAAGCGUCAAGUCAUGGGGGAUGAUUCUCAAGUGAAAAAGGCCGUCCAAACUCUAUUAAUUUAUUUGAGAAAUGUUGCUAAUAAUCCUGAUGACGAAAAGUUUAGGAAGAUUCGACUCGGUAAUCCAGCUUUCCAGAGCAGGGUAGGAAAAUUUAAACAAGGUGUCAAGUUUCUCGAACUCUGUGGGUUUGAGAUAAUUGGAGGAGAAUUUUUGUACCUACCCAAAGACAAAGUUGACAUGGCCACACUUGCAGAAGCUUGGGCAGUUCUGAACUCUGCUAUUACCAAUCCUUACUUUGGACUGUUUUCAAGGAGUGUUGAUGCUGGUGAUUAAGCCUCUUCCAAGUUUGCAUGGGAAGUGAGGGAUCAUAUUGUUUCGUUUCACUCCACGAUGAAGGCCAUGGACUCAUGGUUAGAUUAAUUCAGCAUUUGCAGCCAUAAGCAUCACAUAGGAAUGGAAUGCAGGGGAAAGGUGCAACUACAUUUCGUCAAGUUAAUAUUUCUGUUGCAGUUGAGAAUACAAGUAGUAUUCUUUUCAUGCAAUUAUGCAAGUAACAGGACGUCAAGCCUCUGCUGGUAUCUCCAUCUUUCAUGCUACAAUCUUCGUUUAAAGCUUUUACCCAUUCUCCCUGCAGGGGGAAUAAGCAAAUCCUGGUUCUAACCUUGGAAGAGAUUUGUUUCGUCUGAUAGCUCUCGACCCAAACCAAGAUGUGGCUUUAGCCUGAUUUCCCUGGUUCCCCUUUGU
This is an RNA transcript of Coffea eugenioides, 1608 nucleotides long. It is a transcript of the gene named UBX domain-containing protein 1-like, with no coding region annotated. The transcript has 12 exons. Lineage: Eukaryota; Viridiplantae; Streptophyta; Magnoliopsida; Gentianales; Rubiaceae. The record is from RefSeq and is a predicted model, not a curated record.